AGCUAGAGCAGGCAGGGAGAGAGCACACUGAGAACAGUGAGCUAGCAAGAGCCAUGCUGCAGCACAGAGGACAAAUGGGGCCAUGCUGUCUUGUGGCCUGAUUUGGAGAUCAGUGACCUGAAAGAAGGAACACUGAGUAGAAGAAUGCAAUCCACGGCCAGCAUGGCAAAGGGAGGCAGCUCUGAGCAAGCUGUGCCAGCUCAAGCCGGGGAGGCACUGUGAAACUGCUGCCUCUGCAUUUGACAGUGGAAUUCACUGCUCCUCUACACAGUUCCCCCAAACAGUUGCUUGGUUUGAGUGACCUGCCCCAUCUCCAUUGAAGCAGAGCCACUGUGUUGUUUCCACACUCUGUGCAAAUAGGGCAGAGCUGCUAAAAGCCUCACAGACUGUAUCACAUGGGCUUGUUUGCACAGUCCCCACCAAAAGCUCACACUGAACAGGAAAACACAAACCAACCACUCUGUUUGUUUGCUGCUCCCUCCAGUCCCCUUGUGGCCUUUGGUAUUUGCAGUGGCAAGCUGCAGCCCCAAAUUCACUAAUGAAUCAAGUCAAUACCUCUCUGUACCCUGCCCAAAACACAACAGGACAAAGCAACUCAGCACCACAGGGGGUUCUGAAUGCAGGUCUCUGGCCCUUGUAGCUCAGCACUGAAUUCAGACAGGGCAUAGCAGUCAGGAAAGGCUGAGAGUGCACAGCAGAAUGAGAGAAAACAUGCAGAAGAAGGGAAAAACAAAGAAGCCUCAGUGAAAAUAAAAGAGCAUGGACUGCGGAACAUUACGGAGGAUGCAGGCACGACUCUUCAUGUUCCCAGAGUUUUCAACUAAAGGGAAUUUAUGGAACAAAAAUCCUCACCCAACUUCACAGACCGUGCCUUUAGACAGACAGACUCAGGCUGAAUAAUGACAGUGCAACAACAAAUCAGAAAGCCCAGGAUAAACUACAAACUUGAAGUGUUAGAAAUCCAUGACAGGACAGAAAUCACUGAAAAUUAAGAGGGUGUUCUGGCAAUUCAUCAAGUUUCUCUAUAAAUUGCAAAGGGGAUUUACAGAAAGCAAGAGAACUUUUGCAUGUGCCUUUUAUGAUACAACAGAAUGAAACAUUUAUACAUUAAUUAAAAACAUUUUAAUUGAUUUUUUUAACCUUCCCUCUGUGUAGGUUUCUCUAAAAGAAUCAAGAUGCAAUUAAUAUUUAAUUCCAUCAAAGAGUAUUUUUAUUUACUAAAGUAUAAAAAAUAUUUACAGAAUAUACAAUUGCUGUG
Molecule: long non-coding RNA, 1258 nt
Organism: Prinia subflava (tawny-flanked prinia)
Lineage: Eukaryota; Metazoa; Chordata; Aves; Passeriformes; Cisticolidae
Exons: 4
Source: RefSeq, a predicted model, not a curated record